UGGAUCUUAGUGGCGAACGGGUGAGUAACGCGUAGGCAAUCUGCCUUCUAGAUGGGGACAACAUCCCGAAAGGGGUGCUAAUACCGAAUGUUGUAGUUGGUUCGCAUGGACUAGCUACUAAAGGUGGCCUCUGAAUAUGCUACCGCUAGAAGAUGAGCCUGCGUCUGAUUAGCUAGUUGGAGGGGUAACGGCCCACCAAGGCUUCGAUCAGUAGCCGGUCUGAGAGGAUGAACGGCCACACUGGGACUGAGACACGGCCCAGACUCCUACGGGAGGCAGCAGUGGGGAAUCUUCCGCAAUGGACGAAAGUCUGACGGAGCAACGCCGCGUGAGUGAAGAAGGUUUUCGGAUCGUAAAGCUCUUUCGUUAGGGACGAACGUGCUCUUUGUGAAUAAUGAGGAGUAAUGACGGUACCUAAAUAAGAAGCCACGGCUAACUACGUGCCAGCAGCCGCGGUAAUACGUAGGUGGCAAGCGUUGUCCGGAAUUAUUGGGCGUAAAGCGCGCGCAGGCGGGAUAUCAAGUCUG
This 527-nucleotide ribosomal RNA is filed under the name uncultured Anaeromusa sp. Its description in RNAcentral is "partial 16S ribosomal RNA". It matches the Rfam family "Bacterial small subunit ribosomal RNA", at positions 86 to 591 of the family's 1533-position model. Lineage: Bacteria; Bacillati; Bacillota; Negativicutes; Selenomonadales; Sporomusaceae. The record is from RNAcentral.